UGCUGAAACAGGCGACAUCAGAGUAGGAGAAUCUAUUGGAAGCCUUUUAGCAAUUACCUAGACAAAGCUGAUCAUUUGCAAUGGUCUGCUUUGCAAAGUAGCAUUGGCAGCUCUUAUUGUGGAAACUGGGGCAUUCAUCAACACAAAAAUACUAGAAACAUCCCUAAAGUAUUUCUUUGUUAUAUUCCUUUACUAAUUUUGCUGUCCCAGAUUAGCACUGCAGAGGUUUAGGUGUGCUGUAUAAUGGAGGAAAGUACAAACUGGUCAUAACAUGUAAGGAGCGACAAAAUGAUUCACACUGCAGUUACUCAGUGUUUGAGAGCUCUCACCACACUGGGUGCUUGCAUAGUAACCCUCUGGGGGGCUGCGCAUCAGUGUGCAAGGACAACACGUGGAAAGAGGCAUGCAGAAAGGAACCAGCGCCUUUAAAAGUUUGCCAGCUUUCUUCUUUACCUGAGUAAUGACCACCAGGAGGGGCUUCACAGCAGCUUCUUUUGCUCCUGGAUCCACAAAAAUAUGUGCAUUUGCCUACAAGGACAGUGUGCAUUUUAAGCAUAGCCAAGAGACAGGUGAUUUAACUGACUAGAGAGUCUCUGUCCCACUCAGAAUAGGCCUCCAGGUCAGAGGUGUAUUAAUGAGAGAGCAGCUGGAGGAUGAUGAGCUGAUCCUGCAGCCUCCAACAGCACUGAAUUGACUACAAGGGACUCUAUAGAAGAUAACUUACAGCUAAUAACUAUACAAAUCAUCCUGCAGAUACAGCUGCUAUCACAACUGCAAGAAUUCCUGUUUGUUCUUGGAGGAGGCCUGUGUCAAAGCCCAGACCAUGUACAAAUUCCCCAGUGGUCGCUGUGUAGCACACCACGAUAUUUGGAAGGUCCAGGAACCAAAUUUACAUCAGUUUCUUCCAAGACUCAUAUCCUGCUCCAGCAGAAGUUGAAAAGACACUUUUUUUUUGUAGAGAGCUUCUCUAAUCAGUAUUCUUGAUGUGUAUCCUAGUGGUAGGAAGUAGCAAUAAUAAUAAUAUUAAAACUACCACGUACUAUAAAGCUACAUGUUAAAGGGGAUAAAGCUAAGCAUGUUCUGUGGCUAGGACCAGAUAUUUGCAGUAGUAAAGCAUGUUGCGCAUGUUGGGUGUGUCAAACACUGAAACUUUUCAUUCUGAAAGGGAUUUCCAGGCAUAUCUUGGGUAUUUUUAACAAAAGUGAAAGAAAAACAUAAUUUAUAGCAAGUAUAGAUUUCCCUAUUGUCUACAGAGACAGUUUGGAUUUCCUAGUUGCAAAAAAAGGUCAUGAGGAUAAUAACUGACUGGAAGAAAGACUGUGAAUUAGAAAGGGCAAUAAUCCUUUACUUGGAACUUUUCCUGAUGCUGGAAAGCAGUUGGUUUCAUUCUGGCCAGAGCAAAGUUUUCAGUGAGACUGGAUGUGUCAAAGCAAAGCUACAGAGACCAGACUGCUGGUUUCCCUAAAAAACACCCUACAGACGUUUAAGCUUGCAUUUACAGAACUAUUUCUUAAAGGUCCAGCUACAGCAAAUUGAAUCAAAUAGCUGCAAGGAGUUUCAUUGGUUGGUGCCCUGAUCUUCCCUGCAAAUCCUUUGGACAGAGUCCAAGUAUGAGAAAGACCUGCAAAACCCAGUAAUGUAUCCUUGCAGAAACUGAUCCAACACUGAGGGAAAGAGGAAUUCUAAAACAACUGGUGAAUGUAAAAGGGAUUUCCUUGUCAUACUUGCCAUCCAUACAAAUGACUGGGUUUCCCAGCUACCCAAAGCUUCUCUGUGUCUGUAUCCCCUCAGUAAACCUCUCAACUGUCACAGGAAUUGUCUACACACCUAAUCAUCUCUUAUUCUUCUCCUUCCAGGUUUCCAUGUUCAGUGCAUGAGUUUUUAAAUAAUUUGAUCAUUUUCAUAACCUGCUUGGACUUGAUUCUCUAGCAUGCUGUUUUUCAAGAAGCAAUUCAUCAGUGUGGGUGACUGCAUGAUAGCCUAACCUGAAAACUCUCCAGGUUUCCUGAAUUCCACUGUCUUGCACAUGUUUAUUAUUACUCCAUAGCUACUAUGUCCAUAUACAGAAUGAUGAAAGGGUGUUUUUUUUCAUUAUCUGACUAGAAUAUUGCUGAAGUAGCAAAGAAGCUUGUGCAUUAUGAACACACAGAACAGGAAUGUCUGAUCAUGUGCAGGGGGGGGAUAGGAAAUUAAUUUUACAGCACCCUUCAGAAAGUCUGUCAGAAAAGUUAUCUUUGAAACAUUCUCUUCCUCAGUGGGAAAAUAACAUAUAUGAGCAAAUCCUGGUUUUCUUGGCUUCUAGCGUCACCAGAGUUAUCUUUCAAGUAAAGGAACCAGUCUUGUUUCCAUUAAUUCCAAACACUAAACAGCUAUGAUACUGACUUUUAAAGAAGUUUUGUACCUGAAAUGGAGGACUACCUAAUUCAGCCUGCACACAUGUAUUAUCCAUCCUACAUGUAAAGUCUUUGAUCCAUGAUAAAACCAUCAUUUGUUGAUCUAUUUUGCACUGUAUCUUGCAAUAAAUGCUUUUCAAUAUAUAUUUUAUUGUAUCUGAUGUCUAACUAAAGAGUUUACUGGAUAACACUUGAAUGAGAAAACUGAAAAAAGAACAGAUAUGUUUAAAGCUUCUCAAGAGUCAGAGGAUUCAAAUGCAAUAAAACAUUUUACAAGUUGUUACUGUGGUUUGAUUUCCAAGUCUCUGGGGAGAACCUAAGAAGACAAGGAUGUUGGAAAGAGGAGCUUCUUCCAAGCAGCAAAGGAAAGUGGAAAUUGAAUAAAAUUGUAAAACAAAUUAAAAAGUGCACUGGAGUGUUCGUCUCUCUCCAGCAUCUCCAUUGGGACACUUUGAACUCACUCUCCCACUGACUAAGAUUUUUUUGACAGAGAAUGAAGGUGUCUGCUUACUGGACAUUUGUGUCCCAUUGGUGAAAAAAAAUGGGAAAGUAAAACCAGGAAAACUAGACCCAAAGGUAGGUGAAAAUUUUAGCAUAAUGAAUGUUUUGAAAAAAGUAUAACAAUAAACCUGUGUUUUAAGACUUGGGGCCUAGGGGAAGGAGAGUGCUUUUUGAAGAGGCCAGUCAAGUACAUACAGUCAGAAAUCAAACUUAGGGUCAUUGAUUGUCCUUAGAAAUAGCUCUAAAUAUCCUCUGUCUUUGAAGUAAGAGAAAAUUUAGUCUUUUUUAAAAUAGCAUCUUUUCCUUAGAGGCUGCAGGUGGCAAAGGGUGGGCUUGUGGUAAGAGAAGGAGGACUGAAAAGAGAC
Molecule: long non-coding RNA, 3259 nt
Organism: Parus major (Great Tit)
Lineage: Eukaryota; Metazoa; Chordata; Aves; Passeriformes; Paridae
Exons: 3
Source: RefSeq, a predicted model, not a curated record